This 616-nucleotide ribosomal RNA is filed under the name uncultured bacterium. Its description in RNAcentral is "bacterial SSU rRNA". It matches the Rfam family "Bacterial small subunit ribosomal RNA", at positions 67 to 680 of the family's 1533-position model. The record is from RNAcentral.
CGGUAACAUUUCUAGCUUGCUAGAAGAUGACGAGUGGCGGAUGGGUGAGUAAUACUUAGGAAUAUGCCUUUGUGUGGGGGAUAACCAUUGGAAACGAUGGCUAAUACCGCAUAAUGUCUUCGGACCAAAGGGGGCCUUGGCUCCCGCGCAAAGAGUAGCCUAAGCGAGAUUAGCUUGUUGGUGAGGUAAAGGCUCACCAAGGCGACGAUCUCUAGCUGUUCUGAGAGGAAGAUCAGCCACACUGGAACUGAGACACGGUCCAGACUCCUACGGGAGGCAGCAGUGGGGAAUAUUGCACAAUGGGGGAAACCCUGAUGCAGCCAUGCCGCGUGUGUGAAGAAGGCCUUCGGGUUGUAAAGCACUUUCAGUUGUGAGGAAAGGUUAACGGUUAAUACCCGUUAGCUGUGACGUUAGCAACAGAAGAAGGACCGGCUAACUCCGUGCCAGCAGCCGCGGUAAUACGGAGGGUCCGAGCGUUAAUCGGAAUUACUGGGCGUAAAGCGCACGCAGGCGGUUUGUUAAGCUAGAUGUGAAAGCCCUGGGCUCAACCUGGGAAUUGCAUUUAGAACUGGCAGGCUAGAGUUUUGGAGAGGGGAGUGGAAUUCCAGGUGUAGCG